GGGUGCACCAGGCGCGAAAACUUUACAAUGCUGGCAACAGCGAUAAGGGGACCUCGAGUGCCAGGAUACAAUCUUGGCUGUCGCGAUGCCUAAAAAGCAUUGCAUAGCAAGGGCCGGGCAAGACCGGUGCCAGCCGCCGCGGUAACACCGGCGGCUCGAGUGGUAACCGCUAUUAUUGGGUCUAAAGGGUCUGUAGCCGGCCGGAUAAGUCUUUUGGGAAAUCCAGCUGCUUAACAGUUGGGCUUUCAGAAGAUACUGUUCGGCUCGAGACCGGGAGAGGUGAGAGGUACUUCAGGGGUAGGGGUGAAAUCUUGUAAUCCUUGAAGGACCACCAGUGGCGAAGGCGUCUCACCAGAACGGAUCUGACGGCAAGGGACGAAAGCUAGGGGCACGAACCGGAUUAGAUACCCGGGUAGUCCUAGCCGUAAACGAUACUCGCUAGGUGUCAGCCACGGUGCGACCGUGGUUGGUGCCGUAGGGAAGCCGUGAAGCGAGCCACCUGGGAAGUACGGCCGCAAGGCUGAAACUUAAAGGAAUUGGCGGGGGAGCAC
This 551-nucleotide ribosomal RNA is filed under the name uncultured archaeon. RNAcentral's name for it is "bacterial SSU rRNA". It matches the Rfam family "Archaeal small subunit ribosomal RNA", at positions 328 to 879 of the family's 1478-position model. The record is from RNAcentral.